This 322-nucleotide ribosomal RNA is filed under the name uncultured eukaryote. RNAcentral's name for it is "partial 18S ribosomal RNA". It matches the Rfam family "Eukaryotic small subunit ribosomal RNA", at positions 1470 to 1796 of the family's 1831-position model. The record is from RNAcentral.
CCCUUAGAUGUUCUGGGCCGCACGCGUGCUACACUGAGUAAUUCAAUGGGUAAGGGAACGCUAGAGCAUUACCUAAUCUUGAAAUUUGCUCGUGAUGGGGAUCGAUGGUUGCAAUUUUCCGUCGCGAACGAGGAAUACCUUGUAGGCGCAUGUCAUCAUCAUGCGCCGAAUACGUCCCUGCCCUUUGUACACACCGCCCGUCGCUCCUACCGAUUGAGUGAUCCGGUGAGGCUCUGGGACCUGGACGGAAAGAGCGUUUCGCUUGUUCUGUUUGGGAAACUUGGUCGAACCUUAUCAUUUAGAGGAAGGAGAAGUCGUAACA